CCCUUCUGGAGGAAAGAGUGCAAAUUACCAUGACCAUAAGCGCUAACUAGAAUCAGGAGCAAUGGACCUGCACCUAAGCCUUGCCAGAGAAAUUACUUCUUCGUUUCUCUCAGGCUCUCUUUAUAUACUAAAGUGGUCACCCAAGAGAGGAACCACUGAAUGGCCUAACUAAGCCCAGGGAAAGGAACAAACAAACCCAGACAAAAUCAAAUACAAAUACAUUCAUUCAGGGAACAGGAAGUUUAACUGAUGCCAUGGCAACACCAGCAGCCUGUGACAUCAGAGCAGAAGGCGAGGAACAAAGGGAUUUGUGAGCUACCUUUCCAUGGGUCUUCUCUCCCUUGAAAUUUGACUCAUGCUGCUUAUUUGGUACUGUUUCAGAAUACUGCCAUUUAAAACUUCUCUUGGUACUUUUCUCCAGCAUCUUCUUGGAGAUUAGCCAAAACCACAUGCUGGAAAUCUGCUGAGUGCCACGAUCUUAUUAAUAUGCAAUGAGAUCGUAUUUCAGACUGCUUGUAAUAGCGGGCUGCCAAUCAGCUACAGGGUAAGGACAUAAAGUGUAAAACUAAAAAUAUCUGAAAAAAUUAAAGGGGAGACCAAAUAAACUGAAACUUCAUCAUCACUUUAGGUUGGAAAUUUACACAAGAAGUUUUUGAGCGAGUGGAAUUUUUAGGGAGAGUGGCUUCCCCAGGUUGGAGUGGAAAAAUACCAGGCUCUGGUAUUUGAAGGUCUAC
RNAcentral lists this long non-coding RNA (734 nucleotides) under Bos taurus (domestic cattle). RNAcentral's name for it is "long non-coding RNA NONBTAT002701". The record is from RNAcentral. Lineage: Eukaryota; Metazoa; Chordata; Mammalia; Artiodactyla; Bovidae.